GUGCUCGCUUGGGCAGCACAUGUACUAAAAUUGGAAAGAUACAGAGAAGAUUAGCAUGGCCCUGCGCAAGGAUGACACGCAAAUUCGUGAAGCGUUCCGUAUUUUU
This 106-nucleotide small nuclear RNA is filed under the name Marmota marmota marmota (Alpine marmot). Lineage: Eukaryota; Metazoa; Chordata; Mammalia; Rodentia; Sciuridae. The record is from RNAcentral.